CCUACGGGUGGCAGCAGUCGAGAAUCAUUCACAAUGGGGGCAACCCUGAUGGUGCGACGCCGCGUGGGGGAAUGAAGGUCUUCGGAUUGUAAACCCCUGUCAUGUGGGAGCAAAUUAAAAAGAUCGUACCACAAGAGGAAGAGACGGCUAACUCUGUGACAGCAGCCGCGGUAAUACAGAGGUCUCAAGCGUUGUUCGGAAUCACUGGGCGUAAAGCGUGCGUAGGCUGUUUCGUAAGUCGUGUGUGAAAGGCGCGGGCUCAACCCGCGGACGGCACAUGAUACUGCGAGACUAGAGUAAGGGAGGGGGAACCGGAAUUCUCGGUGUAGCAGUGAAAUGCGUAGAUAUCGAGAGGAACACUCGUGGCGAAGGCGGGUUCCUGGACAUUAACUGACGCUGAGGCACGAAGGCCAGGGGAGCGAAAGGGAUUAGAUACCCGGGUAGUC
Molecule: ribosomal RNA, 446 nt
Filed under: uncultured bacterium
Lineage: Bacteria
Description: partial 16S ribosomal RNA
Rfam family: Bacterial small subunit ribosomal RNA
Source: RNAcentral